UGAACCAUGCUCUUAUAAACCGAAAAUUAUUUAAGCCACAAUCUUUCAGUGUAUUUCUAAAGUCCACCAUCUGACUUUCUCUCCUUAAACAGUUUUCUGUCUUUUCAUAGUUCCAAAGGAUUUCGUUGAAGUCUCCCACGGCUUAUUACUCUACAUUGCUAGAUUACACAAAAGUUCCCCAGAUUCAUUCCUUCUUCUAGUAUCCGGUUCUCCAUAAAACCUCGUCAACCUCUGC
This 235-nucleotide long non-coding RNA is filed under the name Durio zibethinus. Its description in RNAcentral is "long non-coding RNA (DZIB_LNC001114)". Lineage: Eukaryota; Viridiplantae; Streptophyta; Magnoliopsida; Malvales; Malvaceae. The record is from RNAcentral.